This 519-nucleotide ribosomal RNA is filed under the name uncultured eukaryote. RNAcentral describes it as "SSU rRNA". It matches the Rfam family "Eukaryotic small subunit ribosomal RNA", at positions 1161 to 1699 of the family's 1831-position model. The record is from RNAcentral.
AGGGCACCACCAGGAGUGGAGCCUGCGGCUUAAUUUGACUCAACACGGGAAAACUCACCCGGCCCGGACACUGGAAGGAUUGACAGAUUGAGAGCUCUUUCUUGAUUCAGUGGGUGGUGGUGCAUGGCCGUUCUUAGUUGGUGGAGUGAUUUGUCUGGUUAAUUCCGAUAACGAACGAGACUCUAGCCUACUAAAUAGAUCGUCGGCUUACAAACGCCGACGAGACUUCUUAGAGGGACAGGCGGUGAUUCAACCGCACGAAACAGAGCAAUAACAGGUCUGUGAUGCCCUUAGAUGUCCGGGGCCGCACACGCGCUACACUGAAGUGAUCAGCGUGCUUUUUCAACCUACUCUGUCAAGAGUGGGGAACCCAAUGAACCUUCUUCGUGAUUGGGAUAGGGGAUUGUAAUUAUUCUCCUUGAACGAGGAAUUCCCAGUAAGCGCGAGUCAUAAGCUCGCGUUGAUUACGUCCCUGCCCUUUGUACACACCGCCCGUCGCUACUACCGAUUGAAUGUUUU